UACGUAGGUGGCGAGCGUUGUCCGGAUUUACUGGGCGUAAAGGGAGCGUAGGCGGACUUUUAAGUGAGAUGUGAAAUACUCGGGCUCAACUUGAGUGCUGCAUUUCAAACUGGAAGUCUAGAGUGCAGGAGAGGAGAAUGGAAUUCCUAGUGUAGUGGUGAAAUGCGCAGAGAUUAGGAAGAACACCAGUGGCGAAGGCGAUUCUCUGGACUGUAACUGACGCUGAGGCUCGAAAGCGUGGGGAGCAAACAGG
Molecule: ribosomal RNA, 253 nt
Filed under: uncultured bacterium
Lineage: Bacteria
Description: partial 16S ribosomal RNA
Rfam family: Bacterial small subunit ribosomal RNA
Source: RNAcentral